UGGGGAAUAUUGCACAAUGGAGGGAACUCUGAUGCAGCGACGCCGCGUGAACGAAGAAGGCUUUCGAGUCGUAAAGUUCUUUUAUAUGGGAAGAUAAUGACGGUACCAUAAGAAAAAGCCCCGGCUAACUACGUGCCAGCAGCCGCGGUAAUACGUAGGGGGCUAGCGUUGUCCGGAAUCACUGGGCGUAAAGGGUUCGCAGGCGGAAAUGCAAGUCAGGUGUAAAAGGCAGUAGCUUAACUACUGUAAGCAUUUGAAACUGCAUAUCUUGAGAAGAGUAGAGGUAAGUGGAAUUUCUAGUGUAGCGGUGAAAUGCGUAGAUAUUAAAAAGAAUACCGGUGGCGAAGGCGACUUACUGGGCUCAUUCUGACGCUGAGGAACGAAAGCGUGGGUAGCAAACAGG
Molecule: ribosomal RNA, 403 nt
Filed under: bacterium
Lineage: Bacteria
Also listed under: 1 other name
Description: partial 16S ribosomal RNA
Rfam family: Bacterial small subunit ribosomal RNA
Source: RNAcentral